ACGCUCGACACCUACGGGAAGCAGCAGUGGGGAAUAUUGCACAAUGGGGGAAACCCUGAUGCAGCGACGCCGCGUGGAGGAAGAAGGUCUUCGGAUUGUAAACUCCUGUUGUUGGGGAAAAAGAGGAUGGUACCCAACAAGGAAGUGACGGCUAACUACGUGCCAGCAGCCGCGGUAAUCUGAGGCGGGCGUGGACGAAGGC
This 202-nucleotide ribosomal RNA is filed under the name uncultured bacterium. RNAcentral's name for it is "partial 16S ribosomal RNA". It matches the Rfam family "Bacterial small subunit ribosomal RNA", at positions 326 to 545 of the family's 1533-position model. The record is from RNAcentral.